RNAcentral lists this long non-coding RNA (2652 nucleotides) under Homo sapiens (human). RNAcentral's name for it is "partial long intergenic non-protein coding RNA 857". The record is from RNAcentral. Lineage: Eukaryota; Metazoa; Chordata; Mammalia; Primates; Hominidae.
GAGGUGUGCUGGUGCCGGGCAGGAACGGUGCCUUGGGACAGCCUGGCCCCGGCCUCACAACGGGCCCCGGGCGCUCAGUCAUAUUCCGUGGCCGCUCCAACACCCCCUACCCCCACCAGCAGGCGCGGCUCUCUUUCGGGGCUGGACUGCAUUUUUUGGACAUGAGUCGGCGAGUGAGGGUGAAACUCAGGCCAAAGUCUCCAGAGCCGCUCGGAGAAAACGCUGCCUGGAACAGAAGAGCAGAGGAUCAGAGGCACCACCAGAGACUCUCAGAGUGGGUUAUUACCCUGGUGGGGGCGCCUGCUGCGGCGUAGGAGAUGGCGGGACUGGGGGCGCGGGUGUGAAGCCCCCAAGAAAUCUGUGUGAAUUUCCUGGGGAGGUAAGGUCUCCAGGCGCUCUCUCUGGGCCCGGGGAUUGGUCCGGGAAGGUCUCCUGGCGCCUACCCAGCCCCCACUGCCUGGACGCCUGCGCCUGCUCUGCCGCCCCACAGCGACCGCGAAGGCCAGCUUCUUCGAAAGGCCCAUUUUUCUCCGUGGCUGAGCGAAUGCUCCUAGAAUACCACGUUUAUAAUAAAUCAUGUAGGGUGGAAUUCCUGCUGGAUGUAUACACCUUUCUGCAUCAGAGCUCUUCAAACCCAGAAUGGUGAAUAGCUACCCCUGGGCUUACCCUUUUAUAAUUUUCAACAAACCUGCGUUUAGCCCCGGCUAGGUGCCAGCAAGUUGCUAGGGACUGAGGAGGCUCUGCAGAGGACCCGAGCUGAGGCCCUAAUCCUCAAGGCCAAUGGCAGGGGUCACCGCCCAGGCACCCCCAGAGAACGCGGUGUGAAGGAAAAGACACCAAACUCGGUGUUCAAAUGUGUGGGAUCUAUUCUAGUUCUGAUUCUGACACUUGCAAGUCAUGCAUCCUCCGAGCCUCGGCUUUCUCACCUAUAAAAUCUUCAACGUGACCUAUAAAAAUCCAUAAAAUCACCCCUGCUUCAUUGUUUCCCAGGGCUCAUAGAAACAUCAUACAAGGUGGAGAAGAGUACCCAAGAAGGACAAGCUUGGAAUGGGGCCCCCUCCCCAGGCUGGAGAUCAGACAUUGUUGGAGAAGGUAUCAUUGCAGCCCCCUACAUAGCAGAGAGAUUUGCUGAGUUGCAUAGUCUAGAGCUGGUUGCAAUUAUUGGACAAGCAGGAAACAAACCUCCACAGCCCAUGCGAGCCACACUGCUGGGUUGAGUGUAUGAGCAUGUAGAAUGAUUGGGUCUCCAGUGCGGACAGAAGGCAUGGAUCGCGUGGUGCCUGUGUUGGGAGGAUACUAAGAGGGCGAUCACCAUGCCAGGACAAGACUAGUUGCCUGGGAUCUUCUGGGCACGUGACUGGAGCAGAGUACCACUGGAUCUCCUCACACCAGCCAGACCCAGGAAGAGAAGCUCCUUUCACCUGCACUGUUCUCUCAGCACCCUCCACGGAGAAAGCUUCAUGUUAUGCUUAGUGUACAGGAGAAAUGCUCAUGGGAAUCCUGUCCAUUAUCACAGAGCAGGUAUUAGUGGGUGAAUAUGGAGCUGAGAAGUAAUAAGUUGUAACUGGCAUAGAUAUCAUGGGGAUAUUUGAAGAACGCUGUGAACACAUAUGCAUGGGUCCAUGUAUUCAUGAGUGUGCACAUAUGUGUAAUUAUUCAUACAAUUCAUGGUGGAUACUACUUCGAGGGUGUUCACAGACCCCAGGCAGAGAGCGCCUGGAGGGAAAAUUAUCCAAGGCAGGCCCAUUCAUAGUUCCAGGACAGCCAGAAGAAAGCCUCCGUUAAGCACCAGAAGUCUCCGGGGCAGGUGGGGCCAGGCAGCAUGAAAGAAUUGGCCGCAAGAGUUCCAAACCCUGUCCCAAUUAUGGAGGGUGACUUUUCUUUGUCCUCCUUCUCCAUUCCCUUCCAUAUUGCUCAUGCAUCCAAAGGGAGACCUGAAGACUCUCUAGCAGGGCAAGGCCAUUUUCUUUUGGCAUUUUUCUCUCCCCAGAGUCUAGCUGAUUAUCAGCUUAGACACACAGCAGGCUAUGUGCUGUGAACAACAGGCAUCCUGGGUUAUUUUACAAACUCAUGGAUAGUCAUUUUGAAACCACCUUUGCAAAAUUGUGACUGAAACAGUGAAAGAGAGCUAACUUAACCAGCUCCAUCUUGUUUCUAACCUCCAAGCUGUCUUUGUUCAUUCCUGGGCGUAGGCUGAACUAACUUUGGGAGAAACUUAGUUUGUAGUUAUAGUUUAAACAAAGACUGUGACAGCCCUUUCCCAAUGCAGACCUCCUUCUUGUCUGGGGACUAGACUAACAUUAGCCACAGGAUUAGAAAUUACGGUUUAGGAGUCACGCAGCUGGAGGCUACAAGAUUCUGACCCUCCCUAAACUGCUUCUAAGAUCAGUGCUUGAGACAUGUUGCAGACCCCGCACUUGCUGGAUCAGCUGACGCCACACAGAUGGAUAAACUGCCUCGUCUGAUCUUGUGGCCCCCACCCGGGAACUGACGAAGCGCAAGAAGACAGCUUCGACUCCCUGUGAGUUCAUCCCUGACCAACCAGCACUCCUGGCUCACUGGCUUCCCCCUACCAAGUUAUGCUUAAAAAUUCUGCUCCCCGAAUUCUCGAGGAGACUGAUUUGAGUGAUAAUAAAACUCCAGUCUCCCGCU